AGAGUUUGAUCAUGGCUCAGGAUGAACGCUGGCGGCGUGCUUAACACAUGCAAGUCGAACGGUGAACACGGAGCUUGCUCUGUGGGAUCAGUGGCGAACGGGUGAGUAACACGUGAGCAACCUGCCCCUGACUCUGGGAUAAGCGCUGGAAACGGCGUCUAAUACUGGAUAUGUGACGUGACCGCAUGGUCUGCGUCUGGAAAGAAUUUCGGUUGGGGAUGGGCUCGCGGCCUAUCAGCUUGUUGGUGAGGUAAUGGCUCACCAAGGCGUCGACGGGUAGCCGGCCUGAGAGGGUGACCGGCCACACUGGGACUGAGACACGGCCCAGACUCCUACGGGAGGCAGCAGUGGGGAAUAUUGCACAAUGGGCGCAAGCCUGAUGCAGCAACGCCGCGUGAGGGACGACGGCCUUCGGGUUGUAAACCUCUUUUAGCAGGGAAGAAGCGAAAGUGACGGUACCUGCAGAAAAAGCGCCGGCUAACUACGUGCCAGCAGCCGCGGUAAUACGUAGGGCGCAAGCGUUAUCCGGAAUUAUUGGGCGUAAAGAGCUCGUAGGCGGUUUGUCGCGUCUGCUGUGAAAUCCGGAGGCUCAACCUCCGGCCUGCAGUGGGUACGGGCAGACUAGAGUGCGGUAGGGGAGAUUGGAAUUCCUGGUGUAGCGGUGGAAUGCGCAGAUAUCAGGAGGAACACCGAUGGCGAAGGCAG
This 705-nucleotide ribosomal RNA is filed under the name Microbacterium maritypicum. RNAcentral's name for it is "bacterial SSU rRNA". It matches the Rfam family "Bacterial small subunit ribosomal RNA", at positions 8 to 724 of the family's 1533-position model. The record is from RNAcentral. Lineage: Bacteria; Bacillati; Actinomycetota; Actinomycetes; Micrococcales; Microbacteriaceae.